GACGAACGCUGGCGGCGUGCUUAACACAUGCAAGUCGAACGAUGAAGCCGGAGCUUGCUCUGGUGAAUUAGUGGCGAACGGGUGAGUAACACGUGAGUAACCUGCCCUUGACUCUGGGAUAACUGCGGGAAACUGUAGCUAAUACCGGAUACGACCCUCGGAGGCAUCUUCAGGGGGUGGAAAGAAUUUCGGUCAAGGAUGGACUCGCGGCCUAUCAGCUAGUUGGUGAGGUAAUGGCUCACCAAGGCGACGACGGGUAGCCGGCCUGAGAGGGUGACCGGCCACACUGGGACUGAGACACGGCCCAGACUCCUACGGGAGGCAGCAGUGGGGAAUAUUGCACAAUGGGCGCAAGCCUGAUGCAGCAACGCCGCGUGAGGGAUGACGGCCUUCGGGUUGUAAACCUCUUUUAGUAGGGAAGAAGCGAAAGUGACGGUACCUGCAGAAAAAGCACCGGCUAACUACGUGCCAGCCGCCGCGGUAA
RNAcentral lists this ribosomal RNA (484 nucleotides) under uncultured bacterium. RNAcentral's name for it is "partial 16S ribosomal RNA". It matches the Rfam family "Bacterial small subunit ribosomal RNA", at positions 28 to 523 of the family's 1533-position model. The record is from RNAcentral.